Molecule: long non-coding RNA, 1135 nt
Filed under: Mus caroli (Ryukyu mouse)
Lineage: Eukaryota; Metazoa; Chordata; Mammalia; Rodentia; Muridae
Description: predicted gene 14582 (MGP_CAROLIEiJ_G0004275.1)
Source: RNAcentral
AACCAGUGAGCAAUCUCUCCAACCCUGAAUCCACUUUCUCCUCAUUAUGGUUCAAGGGAAUUUGAACUGAAGUAAAGCUGCAAGACAGAAAUAAUAAUAGCAUCUACUCUACAGCCCUGUUGAGAGAGUAAAAUGGUCUGAUUUACAUCAGUUGCUUAAAAAUCAUGCAGUUUCUGCACAGCAUUAAAGUUCUUCCUUGGAAAUGCUGGCUCUCUGUAUUAGAAGGACUCGAUGGCUUAAGGAAGUCAUGCAGCUCUGGGAUCACAUACAUAGUGAAGAUGGGUCUCUCUUAGAUGCAAGUGGAGUAAUGAAGUCCUUGACAUUUGGUGAUGGACUUACUAUGAUGCCUUCAAGAUUCUCCCAUGUUCUAGCAAUGUGAAAGAACCAUCUUUUUAAGUUGAGUAAUACUCCACUAUCUUCUCAACAUCGUGCUCAUCCAUCUGCUGAUGGAGAAACCUUGCUCCUAUCUUAGCUAUGGGGAAUAAUGCUCUUCUAUGCACAGAUGUGCAAAUAUCCCUAGCUUUUGAUUCUUUUCAAUGUAAUAACCAGAAGCAUGAUUGCUAGAUCAUAUCAUACCUACCAACAGUAUACAAAGUUUAAAUUCUUCCCUUCCCUCAUUAACACUAAGACUUUAUAUUUUGUGUAUGUAGGCUUUUUGUUGUUUUGUUUUAGUAAAACAUAAGGGUUAUGAGGGUCCAUUUCAUGGUGGUUUUCCGAUUAAUGAUAUUUUUAGCAAUUUCUUCCUUAUGCUUUCUGGAGGAAUAAUUUCAAAAGUCACAGGAAUAAAAAGUCUAUGGAUGAUAUUUAAUACAUGGCUCUGGGGCAAAUGGGUAAUUAUAAAUCCAUUUUCAGGAUAAAGGAGUUUUUGUUUAGCUUGUGAACACUUAAUAUUUACUAUUUUGGGGACAGCAAGAUUGCUCCCCAGGUGAAGGGACAGUUGAUCAGUUUUCAGAUAUCUCUUCUGUCUCACAAUUCUUAUUGGUUCUUUAUUUGAUUUAGUUGGUGCUUAGAAUUUCGUUGUUUUGUUUUGGGUGAUUCAGUACUGCGCCAUAGUUUGCAGAGUUUUAGGGAAAGGCGACAAUGCCUCAUAUUUCUCUUGUAUAUUGUAGAAAUAAAGGCCAUAGCUGCCAACACU